RNAcentral lists this ribosomal RNA (254 nucleotides) under uncultured bacterium. Its description in RNAcentral is "partial 16S ribosomal RNA". It matches the Rfam family "Bacterial small subunit ribosomal RNA", at positions 524 to 776 of the family's 1533-position model. The record is from RNAcentral.
UACAGAGGUCUCAAGCGUUGUUCGGAUUCAUUGGGCGUAAAGGGUGCGUAGGCGGCCCUGUAAGUCAGUGCUGAAAUAUCCCAGCUUAACUGGGAGGGUGGCAUUGAUACUGCGGGGCUAGAGUACAGAUGAGGUAGGCGGAAUUGACGGUGUAGCGGUGAAAUGCUUAGAUAUCGUCAAGAACACCUAUAGCGAAGGCAGCUUACUAGGCUGUAACUGACGGCUGAGGCACGAAAGUGUGGGGAUCAAACAGG